ACACCGGCAGCUCAAGUGGUGGCCAUUUUUAUUGGGCCUAAAGCGUUCGUAGCCGGCUUGAUAAGUCUCUGGUGAAAUCCCAUAGCUUAACUGUGGGAAUUGCUGGAGAUACUAUUAGGCUUGAGGCCGGGAGAGGUUAGGGGUACUCCCAGGGUAGGGGUGAAAUCCGUAGAGAUCUGGAGGAACACCAGUGGCGAAGGCGACUACCUGGACCGAUACUGACACUGAGGAGCGAAAGCGUGGGGAGC
RNAcentral lists this ribosomal RNA (248 nucleotides) under uncultured bacterium. RNAcentral's name for it is "partial 16S ribosomal RNA". It matches the Rfam family "Bacterial small subunit ribosomal RNA", at positions 523 to 769 of the family's 1533-position model. The record is from RNAcentral.